GUUAUGGUAACACACUGUUGACAGGCUUGGAGUGUAGAGCUGAUCAGGCCUGAGUGUUGGAGGUACUCCACCCGGUCUACCCAAAAAAACACCUAACUAUUGAAAGACUUUCUGUCUUGAAACACACGCACACACACACGCUUUAAGUACAUGAUGAAACACACACGCACACACACACACACAAACGCAGGCAUACAUUACACACACAAACAUGUUUUCUAAUGAAUGAAUAUGCAGUAUUACUACAAAUGUUAAACAUACUGCCUUUCUGUAAAAAUACCAAAACUGUAAUAUCAGUUUCUUUAUUUGUAUCGGAGCCAUUUGAACAAAGGACUUAUACCAUUAUUUGCAAAGGCAUCUGUCUUUCUUUUCAUACAGACAAAUGGACCAUUAUGUCCAACAGUCACACAGUCUGGAAAUGCAUGGUUACUUACUUGUGCUCAUAGCACAAUACAUAGUUGAGUAUAAAAGUAUAAAAACAAUAUAUAAAACCGAAUAAUUACUUCUGCCAACCAGCAGCCAUCUUUUCUUGCAUUUUCAAGCACAUUACAAAUGACAUUUUAUACACAAUUUAAUGUCUAUUAGUCUAAUAUUAGCACCAGAUGAAAUCAGGUAAUUCUCUCUCUCUCUCUCACACACACACACACACACACACACAGGUGCAAGGCAAUGGAACAGGAAAUGCAUGAGGCUUAGAGGAAGUCUGUCAGAUUGACUUCCUGUAGUGUCUGAAUCAGCCCUGAUGAGCUCAGCUAUUUGGUCACCCAUAAAGAUAACUUUGGUCAUAACACAUCUAUAACUGUGGUCAUAUGGUCAUAACCCAUGAACAGAACUAUAACUGUGGUCAUAUGGUCAUAUUGCCUGAACACAACCUUACUGUGGUUCUGUGGUCAUGAAUACAACCUUGUGGUUCUAUGGUCAUAACUCAACCCUGGCUGUGGUCCUGCUAUGGUCAUGAAGUGCUCAGAGUACAGGUUAAAUACCAGUCCACUUCUGUCUCUGUCUCUGCAGCAUCUUACACAUUCUCCUGAGGAUGUUCCUUCCUGGUGAUGGCAUCUUGGUGUUCUCAGGUUCUAGAUAUAUCUAAUGCUCACAAUAAAAAAUAUAUAUUCUAGAGCUUAAGUGGGUCACAGCGCAAACAUGUUUUCAAGUUCUAGGUCUCUGGUGUUCUAUUAAUCUGAGAACCUUUGCAUGUCACUGUUGUCUCUACGGGUGGGGCUGUUGUCAAGGAAACGGUCGCAGGGGAACUCUAUAAGGUCGCCCCCUUCCUCCAGGGUUCCGAGCCGUGGCGGCCGGCUGCUCUGGAAACUUGUGAAGUCUGUUGACACCGCCGCCGUUGUUGUCAUGGAGCUGCGGAACGGUCGCCGCGUGGAAUACAUGUGGCGCACAUGCACUGCUGACUUCCUCCUUUUCAGCUUCCGCCUCAAACUUCGCCCCAGCCAGGCUCCUCCAAUCACCAGAAGAAGGACGGCGUUGCCGGCCAGUGUUGCCACGGUGACCAGCUGGAGGUCAGAGGUCAGUGUCUCUUGGUGAUGAGCCUCUUCUGGAAGAGUGACCAAUCCGGCGCAGUGGUCCCUGGGUGCCACCUGACACACGGACCCUCCCACCACACCCUCAACACAAGCCAUGUAGGUGACGUCUGGGCUUAGUUCUCGUAACAUCACCGACCGCGCCCCGCCACGGGCGUACACGUACCGAGGGAAACGGUCAGAUGACCCAAAGCGGUCAAACAGCACUCGGUAGUGGACCUCUUCUAGUCCCGGUCCGGCUCCCGGUGUGAAGCGGCUGUGGUGGCGUGUGGUCCAGUGGACCGUGGCUGUGCUGGAGGCGACCUGGUCGACGGACACGUUGGUGAUGAAGUGACGGUUGAACACACAGGGGUCGGUCACUGCAGGUAUAACGUCCUCCUGACCACCUCUGAACAGGUCAAACCGCUCCUCUUUCCGAAGGCUGGGAGGAGAGGAGGUGAGGAGCUCUGUGAUUGGCCCACUGAGAUGGUUACCAUGGCUAUUUUGGUGGUCAACUGUCUGAGGCCAGGUUGUGGUUGGAGGUGUGGGGUUGUUCAGGAGAGGGGCUUGUGUUUGAGGAACACUGCGGCCCGGAACGGAAUCCCACCUCCCUUUCUCACGCUUCCCAGAAGCCUCAGCAGAAGGUCGCGACCUAGGGCUGGCGGAUAUUUUCUUCCUCCUCUUCCUGUUCGACAACAGGGAUUUGUCCCGCUCCUCUUGCCCUCCCUGGUCCCCUUGGAUACCCACCUCCUCCUCUCCCUCCUUCCUAUCCUCUCCCUUGCUACCCCUGCUCACCUUCUCUAUUGCCUUCUUCUCCACUCCCUCUCUACUCCCAAUUUCCCUAUGUUCUUCUCCAUCCUUCCUUUCCUCUGCCUCUAUUCCUCUCCUCUCCCCCUCUAUCUCCUUUCUCACCUCUCCUUGCCCUCUCUCCCUCUCCUCCAGCUCCUUCUCCAGAACACCCCCUCCUCUGCUCUCCUCAGGCCCAGUCUGGGUCUCACACAAGUGGCUCCAGUUCCCUGGGGGCUGCAGCUGGGAGCUGUUGAUAUAAUCUAGAUACUUCCCCCUCAGUGUCGCUGGGUGAUGACACUGCAGGAAAACGGUCAGCAGCUUCCCCUGAGAGUGCGCCGAUUUCAUCCACUGCUUCAGCUCACCCAGGCGGCAGUCACACGUCCAGUUGUUGCCAUGGAGAUCCAAAUCGUAAAGGCCGCUGUUGAGGGCGAAUAUGUUACCCGAGAGGCUCGUGAGCCUGUUGUCUUUGAGUUUUAAAACACUCAGGUGCUUCAGUUGUUCAAAAGCCGAGGGGUCCACAGUUGAAAUUUGGUUGCAACUAAAGUCCAGCUCCUCAACUCUCUCCAGCGGGUCGAGAAGUCCUGCAGGAAGAUUCUCCAGCUCGUUCCCGUCAAUCAGAAAUUCUGUCAAGCUCGACAGUCCUUUCAACGACUCGCUUUCCAAAUGGUAGAUGUUGUUAUUGCUGAGGGAUAGUUUAGAAAGCUUUUUCAGAUUCUGAAAGACGUGGUUUCCGACGUGUUGUAUUUCAUUUUCAGAGAGCAGCAACGUAUUCAGUGACCUGAGCUGGGAGAACGUAAACACAUUACGCACGGCUGUCAGUUUGUUCUGCGCCAGGUUGAGAAAGCGCAGUUUGGUGAGCUUGGAAAAAGCGUUUCUGUGAAUGUGACUCAGCUGGUUCGAUUCUAGAUGGAGAUAAUGUAGAUUAGUCAAGCUCUUGAAGACCGAGUUCUGUAACAGUUCUAUGGCGUUCCCAUCUAACCUCAGCUUCACAACGCUCUCCAAGUUACCAAACAGCUCUGGAGUGAUCUUCUUCAUGUCAUUGUUAUUGCCAUACAAAGUAGUCAGUUUUGCCAGUGACUGUAAAGUUCCUGGGGGAAUUGUUGAUAUCAGAUUGUUGCCCAAAUACAGCUCCUCCAAUUUGGAGAGCUUUUCAAACGCUUUUGGGUGAAUGGUCUGUAUUUGAUUAUACUGUAAGUUCAACCUUAUAAGAUUUCCAUACCGUGUGAAGUCGAAGGCGGAGAUGUUACCGAUGAAGUUUCCCCCGAGGCUGAAGACAAGCACGUCCUCUGGGACCCGCGAGGAGUGCACCUUGGGCACCGCGCGCAGCCCCCGGUUUGUACAGAGGAUGUGCUGCGCUUGCUGGCAGUCGCAGCGCUCAGGACAGAAGCCGCUGGCGGGUGAAGGCGCGAGGAACCCUUCACAAGAGAAAAGGAGAAAGCAGAUGACACCCACGAAAUUACCGGUAUCCAUUCCAAAACGGCAGUUGGCACAAGCUUCUGAUGCGGCAUUCCCCCUUUGUGUUCACGUGCAGUUACCCCGACUCUCCACUCUCACUUUGGUGUCCGAUACAUAUGUCCAUUAUUGACUUGUUGCUCCGUCAUUUUGGAGGAAAGUUGUCCUACACUUAGUUUAGUGUGACAAGGUGUCUGGAUCCAUGGCUAAAAACUGCUGUUCAAAGAAUAAAUGUAUUUGUGCACUGCGCUGUCAUGCCGUGUGAGGAAACGCUCACCUCCCCAGAAUGAUCCAUAUCCCGGCCCCAAGUGGUCAUCUGGAGCAAAUUACAGACCUCCGCAAAACGCAGGGUUCACGCGCAGAGCACACACACACGCGCGCGCGCUCAGCCCCUCCCCCGCAUCUCCGGUCCCCGCCACCACCAUUCGUGUACAGUGCCUGGGUCACAGGAUUCAGAGCUGCGCGUGCAUUGAACACACACACACACACACACACACGUUCUCUAAAUCUAAUCAAAUGCGUGGAAGAUAGGACGCAUAUACUGUAUCUUGUUGUAUUCGAGGCAUGGAGAGAGAGAUAAGUGGCUGAACCCUUUGACCGAGUUUUCCGCGUGCCCCCGCACCCCCUGUGGCUCGCGAGGUGAGAUUCGAUACUCGGUAUGGAGAAAGCAGACGGGAAGCCUUCCUUCCCACGAGGGUCCCCCGGGGGACCCCGGACUGAGUGACUCAGUCUUGGACUCCC
RNAcentral lists this long non-coding RNA (4490 nucleotides) under Salmo salar (Atlantic salmon). RNAcentral's name for it is "lncRNA (ENSSSAG00000053160.2)". Lineage: Eukaryota; Metazoa; Chordata; Actinopteri; Salmoniformes; Salmonidae. The record is from RNAcentral.